AAACCAUGGUGUGGACACUUCCUUAAUAAUUCCUUAUAUCUUUCUCAUGAUUCAUAUAAUGACUCAUUGUCGUUUUGCAUGAAUGAUGUGAUGUCAUUUUGCAUCU
Molecule: small nucleolar RNA, 106 nt
Organism: Pistacia vera
Lineage: Eukaryota; Viridiplantae; Streptophyta; Magnoliopsida; Sapindales; Anacardiaceae
Source: RefSeq, a predicted model, not a curated record